Long non-coding RNA from Paramisgurnus dabryanus, 387 nucleotides. RefSeq lists it as uncharacterized. The record is from RefSeq and is a predicted model, not a curated record. Lineage: Eukaryota; Metazoa; Chordata; Actinopteri; Cypriniformes; Cobitidae.
AAUAAUAGGAACCCAGGCCGUAGCAUCGUUUCACAAUGUUUCCAUCACCAUCAUCAGUGGAUGCCUUUGCUGUCCGUAGCCUGAGAUUUCAGAUUUGCAGCAAAAAAAAAAUUAUUUUCUCAUUUAUUGGAAUGCUGUGCAGGUAUUUGUACCUUGCAGCCAUCCAUUACAAUGUCACCAAGCCGUAACAAAAGCAGGAGAGGGAAAGUACAAGGCUAUGUUCCCAAAACACACAAGUGACAUACCUUAUGUGGAGGAUGUGAUCAGGCUUGUGUUUGAUGAGGUAUUUGAAGAUAAGCUGAAGGAAGCCCUGAUUCCAAUGGACCUGGCAUCACAGUUUGAGAGACCUUCAAAGGAGGACGUGAUUGCAUGCCAUCUUCAGUGCAG